GCUGCUUCCUGGAGGAAAUGAUGGUUGGGCUGAGGCAGAAAAGAUGAGUGAGAGUUAAUCAAAUCAAGAAAAGAAAGAAGAGCAUUCCAGGCAGAGGGAACAGCAUGUGCAAAGGCUCUGAGGCAGGGGGGCAUGGUGUGAUACACACUUACACACUGUUCGGCGUCGGGGCGUCAAGUUGAGAACCCCCACUGUCCCAUUUCCUCCCGCUGUCUCCUGUCCACACCUGAGUCUCCUCUCUGAAGGGCCUGCUGGGCCCUAUGGGGAGCAGAGAGAAACCCACGCCACCGCCUGGCCUUGAAGAGAGAAGACAAGACUCACAGGCAGAUACACCAAGUGGACCGUUGCAUCGCUUCCUCCUCUCCGAGCCUCAGUUUCCUCACCAGUGAAGUGGGCGGGCUGGACUGAGUCCUCAGGAGGGCCCUGCAGCUCUCCCGCCCUUACCUGGAAGGCUGUCUCCUCUUCUUCCAUCUCUCCUGCCCUGGCACCGCCUCCCCGGCUCCUCCGGCCCCACUCACCCCCGACUCAUCCGAAGGACGGCUUUUUAAGACUCAGCCCGGCUCCACCUGCUUCUCCCACGAAAGGCGACAUGCCAGAGGGCAGAGCAUGGCCUCGAAUGCUGCGCCAUUACUGUCAGCCGCGGACCGAGAGCCACUGCAGCCUGGUCCAACACCACUCCACCGUCUUUCAAACAGGAGUAAGGC
RNAcentral lists this long non-coding RNA (704 nucleotides) under Equus caballus (horse). RNAcentral describes it as "lncRNA (ENSECAG00000054066.1)". The record is from RNAcentral. Lineage: Eukaryota; Metazoa; Chordata; Mammalia; Perissodactyla; Equidae.